UUACUUACCUGGCAUGGGUGACAACAUGAUCACAAAGAUAUUUUUCCCAUCCAUUGCAUAUUACUAAAUUCCUAAAAUUUCCCCAAAUGUGGGAAACUCAUUUGAAUAAUUUGUGAUAUUAGGGAACUGCGUUCACAUUCUCUC
Molecule: small nuclear RNA, 144 nt
Filed under: Erpetoichthys calabaricus (reedfish)
Lineage: Eukaryota; Metazoa; Chordata; Cladistia; Polypteriformes; Polypteridae
Description: U1 spliceosomal RNA (ENSECRG00000020402.1)
Rfam family: U1 spliceosomal RNA
About the family: U1 is a small nuclear RNA (snRNA) component of the spliceosome (involved in pre-mRNA splicing). Its 5' end forms complementary base pairs with the 5' splice junction, thus defining the 5' donor site of an intron.
Source: RNAcentral